Molecule: transfer RNA, 67 nt
Filed under: Habroteleia persimilis
Lineage: Eukaryota; Metazoa; Arthropoda; Insecta; Hymenoptera; Scelionidae
Description: tRNA-Gly
Source: RNAcentral
AAUUAUAUAAUAUAAUAAAUAUAUUUAAUUUCCAAUUAAAAAAUUUAAUUUAAAUUUAAUAUAAUUA